This 497-nucleotide ribosomal RNA is filed under the name uncultured bacterium. RNAcentral's name for it is "partial 16S ribosomal RNA". It matches the Rfam family "Bacterial small subunit ribosomal RNA", at positions 28 to 507 of the family's 1533-position model. The record is from RNAcentral.
GAUGAACGCUGGCGGCGUGCCUAAUACAUGCAAGUCGAGCGAACAGACGAGGAGCUUGCUCCUCUGACGUUAGCGGCGGACGGGUGAGUAACACGUGGAUAACCUACCUAUAAGACUGGGAUAACUUCGGGAAACCGGAGCUAAUACCGGAUAAUAUAUUGAACCGCAUGGUUCAAUAGUGAAAGACGGUUUUGCUGUCACUUAUAGAUGGAUCCGCGCCGCAUUAGCUAGUUGGUAAGGUAACGGCUUACCAAGGCGACGAUGCGUAGCCGACCUGAGAGGGUGAUCGGCCACACUGGAGCUGAGACACGGUCCAGACUCCUACGGGAGGCAGCAGUAGGGAAUCUUCCGCAAUGGGCGAAAGCCUGACGGAGCAACGCCGCGUGAGUGAUGAAGGUCUUCGGAUCGUAAAACUCUGUUAUUAGGGAAGAACAAAUGUGUAAGGAACUAUGCACGUCUUGACGGUACCUAAUCAGAAAGCCACGGCUAACUACGUG